Molecule: long non-coding RNA, 1060 nt
Filed under: Equus asinus (donkey)
Lineage: Eukaryota; Metazoa; Chordata; Mammalia; Perissodactyla; Equidae
Description: lncRNA (ENSEASG00005031015.1)
Source: RNAcentral
GAACUGGAUACGAGAAAUGUGAUUCCUCCCAAUGGAUCUGAGCACUGGUCCCACCUCAAAGCCGAGCGAGAAGGCUUCAAGAGUCAGUGGUAAAGGUCUGGGAUUCCUGCAAGAUGGAGAGCCUGGCCCCUCAAGCUCCAGGGAUGCACGGUGUCCACCUGAGCAGGGGAAACGCCUAGAGAGGAGGCCCGUGGCAAAAGAGGAGAGCCUGGAGCAGCCCAUACCUCAGCUAUUUGGUCGGGAAUUCAGAAGAAGCUUGAUUGGGUAGUUCUGGCUCCAGGUUGCUCAAGAGAUUGCAAUCAAGGUGGCAGCUGGGGCUGCAGUCAAUUGAAGACUUGGCUGGGGCUGACUGAUCUGCGUCCAGCCUGGCUCAUUCACGUAUCUGAUCCCAGCCCUCAAGUCAGAAAGAGAGUGGCCUUUCUGCUGGGGUUGCUUCCUGUGUCCCAGCCAUGUCUGGUGUCCAAGAAAAGAUGUGCCCAUCAGUAGUCGAGAACUGUCCUUCCACAGUGCCAUUUGGCUGAUACCUGGAGUGGUGGCAGAGCCCUCUAGAGGAGGCUCAUUUGGAUAAGAGGAGAGGCAAAACAGAAGAUGCCUGAAAACACUGGACUAACAACUACUGGGAAUCACAUGUGGUCAAAAUCGCUCUGCACCAGGGGCCUGCAGACGCUCUGCCACACUAGGUGUUCUCUGUGGUCACCUCCAAGAUGAACUACCCACACUGGAAUCCUGGUCUCAGGAUCUGCCUCUGAGGAACCCAGACCAAGGCAGGCUACCAUACAGUCAAAAGUAUGGCUGAAAAAAAAAUCAACUGUCUCCCUUUUCCUAGAGGUUGUUGCAGAUUUAUGAGACCAUAUUCUUAAAGCCCGGUUAGGAGCAGACACCAGCUUUAUCCAAAACCCAUAAAAUGUGCUACAUCCCAUACAAAAUGUACUGUGCGGCCAUUUUUAAAAAUGAGGAAGAUCUCAGUAUGUUGAUAUGGAGCCAUAGCCAAGAUAUAUUGCAUAGUGAAGAAAGCAAGUGACAGAACAGCGUAUAAGAUGCCACCGUUUGUGGAUUUUAG